This 253-nucleotide ribosomal RNA is filed under the name uncultured bacterium. RNAcentral describes it as "partial 16S ribosomal RNA". It matches the Rfam family "Bacterial small subunit ribosomal RNA", at positions 524 to 776 of the family's 1533-position model. The record is from RNAcentral.
UACGGAGGAUCCAAGCGUUAUCCGGAUUCAUUGGGUUUAAAGGGUGCGUAGGCGGACUGAUAAGUCAGCGGUGAAAUCCCACGGCUCAACUGUGGAACUGCCGUUGAUACUGUUAGUCUUGAAUGCAGAUGAUGUGGGCGGAAUAUGACAUGUAGUGGUGAAAUACUUAGAUAUGUCAUAGAACACCGAUUGCGAAGGCAGCUCACAAAACUGUGAUUGACGCUGAUGCACGAAAGCGUGGGGAUCAAACAGG